RNAcentral lists this long non-coding RNA (701 nucleotides) under Physcomitrium patens. Its description in RNAcentral is "long non-coding RNA (PPAT_LNC013441)". The record is from RNAcentral. Lineage: Eukaryota; Viridiplantae; Streptophyta; Bryopsida; Funariales; Funariaceae.
UAUCAUUAGAAAGAUAAAAAAAAUUAUCUAUCUAAAAAUAUAUUUUUUACUUUUUAUUUUUAUCUUUUAUUGAAAGAAAAUCCUAUGAAUAGAUUGUGACUAGUUUUGUAGUAUAUAAUUGCUUGAUUGCACUUGUUUUACUUAUUUGGUGUUGUCCUUCUUUUAUUCUUGUUUAUUGCUACUUCUACUUCUCACCACCAAUUACAAGAAACUCUUAAUUGAAGCCAUCUUGUAAUUUGGAGUGAGGGAAAAAUUUACACUCACAUAGAUUAUAAAAAAAAUUUAUAAUUGUAACUAAAUAGGUAAAAAUUAUGAUAAUGUUUUGUAUUUCUUCUCAAAACAAAUAGAAGAUAUGUUAUAUGGACAUAAAUUUUUUUUUCUUGUAUAAAGAGUUAAAAAAAAAAUUAUAUUAUUUAGUCUCAAGAUUUUGAAGUACCAAAAAAUGUCUACACUUGACACACAUGCAACUUAAUAUAUGUGUGGAUGAAUAUCACUCUUCAAUCUAAAUUAUAAGAUGAUCUCAAUUAAGAACUAUUUAUAAUUGGUGGUAAGAAUUGAAGGGAGCAAAUAACAAGAAUAAAAGAAGAACAAAUACAAAACAAGUGAAAUAAAUGAAAUGAAGUAAUUAUACAUUUCAAAACUUAAUCACAGUUUGUUUAUUAAAUUUUUAUCUAGUAAAAAAUAUAUUUUUUAUUUUUUUU